GUCAGGACGAACGCUGGCGGUGUGCUUCAUACAUGCAAGUCGAACGAUAAGGUCCCUUCGGGGAUACAUAAGUGGCGGACGGGUGAGUAACACGUAGAAAAUCUACCUCGAGGAAGGGGACAACAGUUGGAAACGACUGCUAAUACCCUAUAUGAGCUGGGCUGAAACGCCUAUCUUGAAAGUUCCGGCGCCUUGAGAUGAGUCUGCGUCUGAUUAGCUAGUUGGUGGGGUAAAUGCCUACCAAGGCGAUGAUCAGUAGCUGGUUUGAGAGGAUGACCAGCCACAAUGGGACUGAGACACGGCCCAUACUCCUACGGGAGGCAGCAGUAGGGAAUUUUGCGCAAUGGGGGAAACCCUGACGCAGCAACACCGCGUGAACGACGAAGCCCUUCGGGGUGUAAAGUUCUGUCAGUAGGGACGAAUUUUGACGGUACCUACAAAGGAAGCAUCGGCUAACUACGUGCCAGCAGCUGC
This 474-nucleotide ribosomal RNA is filed under the name uncultured bacterium. RNAcentral describes it as "bacterial SSU rRNA". It matches the Rfam family "Bacterial small subunit ribosomal RNA", at positions 23 to 518 of the family's 1533-position model. The record is from RNAcentral.